Non-coding RNA from Schistosoma curassoni, 45 nucleotides. The record is from Rfam. Lineage: Eukaryota; Metazoa; Platyhelminthes; Trematoda; Strigeidida; Schistosomatidae.
AUCCAGCUGACAAGUCCCAAACGGGACGAAACGCGCUUCUUGGAU